GUGAGGAAUAUUGGGCAAUGGGCGCAAGCCUGACCCAGCCAUGCCGCGUGAAGGUAGAAGGCCCUAUGGGUUGUAAACUUCUUUUAUACGGGAAGAAACUUCCGAACGUGUUCGGAAUUGACUGUACCGUAGGAAUAAGCAUCGGCUAACUCCGUGCCAGCAGCCGCGGUAAUACGGAGGAUGAAAGCGUUAUCCGGAUUUAUUGGGUUUAAAGGGUGCGUAGGCGGAAUGAUAAGUCAGUGGUGAAAGCCUGCGGCUUAACCGUAGAACUGCCAUUGAUACUGUUGUUCUUGAGUAUAGUUGAGGUGGGCGGAAUGUGUAAUGUAGCGGUGAAAUGCUUAGAUAUUACACAGAACACCGAUUGCGAAGGCAGCUCACUAAGCUGUUACUGACGCUGAGGCACGAAAGCGUGGGGAGCAAACAGGAUUAGAAACCCCUGUAGUCC
RNAcentral lists this ribosomal RNA (445 nucleotides) under uncultured bacterium. RNAcentral's name for it is "partial 16S ribosomal RNA". It matches the Rfam family "Bacterial small subunit ribosomal RNA", at positions 354 to 796 of the family's 1533-position model. The record is from RNAcentral.